GGGCGAGAAGCCUGAAGGCAGCAACGCCGGCGUGAGUGGAUGACGGCCUUCGGAGUUGUAAACCUCUUUUAGCAGGGAAGAAGCGAAAGUGACGGUACCUGGAGAAAAAGUGCCGGCUAACUACCUGCCAGCAGCCGCGGUAAUACUUACGGCGCAAGCGUUAUCCGGAAUUAUUGGGCGUAAAGAGCUCGUAAGCGGUUUGUCACGUCUGCUGUGAAAUCCCGAGGCUCAACCUCGGGCCUGCAGUGGGUACCGGCAGACUAUAGUGGGGUAGGGGAGAUUGGAAUUCCUGGUGAAGCGAUGGAAUGCCCAGAUGUCACGAGGAACACCGAUGGCAAAGGCAGAUCUCUGGGCCGUAACUGACACUGAGGAGCGAAAGGGUGGGGAGCAAACAGGCUUACAUACCCUGGUAAUCCACCCCGUAAACGUUGGGAACUAGUUGUGGGGUCCAUUCCGCGGAUUCCGUGACGCAUCUAACCCUUUAAGUUCCCCGCCUGGGGAGUACGGCCGCAAGGCUAAAACUCAAAGGAAUUGACUGGGACCCGCACAAGCGGCGGAGCAUGCGGAUUAAUUCGAUGCCACGCGAAUAACCUUACCAAGGCUUGACAUAUACUACAACGGGCCAAAAAUGGUCAACUCUUUGGACACUCGUAAACCCGUUGUGCGUGGUUGUCGUCAGCUCGUGUCUGGAGAUGUUGGGCUAAGUUCCGCAACUAGCGCAACCCUCGUUCUAUGUUGCCAGCACGUAAUGCUGGGAAGUCAUGGGAUACUGCCGGGGUCUACUCGGAGUGAGGUGGAGAUGACGUCAAAUCGUCGUGCCCAUUUUGUCUUGUGCUGCACCUUUGCUACAAUGGCCCGUACAUAGGGCUGCGGUACCAUGAGGUGGCACCGAUCCCACAAAGCCGGUCCCAUUUUCGGAUUGAUGUUCUGCAUUCGGACCCCAGACUUCAGACUCACUGGUAGUCCCUGAUCUCCAUCGCUAGCGCGAAUACGUUUCCCGGCGCUUGUACCUCCCCCCGUCUAGUCAUGAAAGCCCGUACCACCUGAAGCCUGUUGUCCUACCCCUUGUCGGAGG
RNAcentral lists this ribosomal RNA (1075 nucleotides) under Microbacterium sp. TXc9-6. RNAcentral's name for it is "bacterial SSU rRNA". It matches the Rfam family "Bacterial small subunit ribosomal RNA", at positions 373 to 1449 of the family's 1533-position model. Lineage: Bacteria; Bacillati; Actinomycetota; Actinomycetes; Micrococcales; Microbacteriaceae. The record is from RNAcentral.